UACGUAGGGUGCGAGCGUUGUCCGGAAUUACUGGGCGUAAAGAGCUCGUAGGUGGUUUGUCGCGUUGUCCGUGAAAACUCACAACUCAAUUGUGGGCGUGCGGGCGAUACGGGCAGACUGGAGUACUGCAGGGGAGACUGGAAUUCCUGGUGUAGCGGUGAAAUGCGCAGAUAUCAGGAAGAACACCCGUGGCUGAGGCGGCUCUCUAGUACGGUACUGACGCUGAGACGCGAAAGCGUGGGGAGCGAACAGG
This 253-nucleotide ribosomal RNA is filed under the name uncultured bacterium. Its description in RNAcentral is "partial 16S ribosomal RNA". It matches the Rfam family "Bacterial small subunit ribosomal RNA", at positions 524 to 776 of the family's 1533-position model. The record is from RNAcentral.